UACAGAGGGGGCAAGCGUUGUUCGGAAUUACUGGGCGUAAAGGGCGCGUAGGCGGCCUUCUAAGUCGAACGUGAAAUCCCCGGGCUCAACCCGGGAACUGCGUCCGAUACUGGAAGGCUUGAAUCCGGGAGAGGGAUGCGGAAUUCCAGGUGUAGCGGUGAAAUGCGUAGAUAUCAGGAGGAACACCGGUGGCGAAGGCGCUCAUCUGGCCCAAUACUGACGCUGAGGCGCGAAAGCUAGGGGAGCAAACGGG
Molecule: ribosomal RNA, 253 nt
Filed under: uncultured bacterium
Lineage: Bacteria
Description: partial 16S ribosomal RNA
Rfam family: Bacterial small subunit ribosomal RNA
Source: RNAcentral